GGGCCUUUAGCUCAGUUGGUUAGAGCGUCCGGCUCAUAACCGGCAGGUCCGGGGUUCGAAUCCCUGAAGGCCCACCA
Molecule: transfer RNA, 77 nt
Filed under: Schnuerera ultunensis
Lineage: Bacteria; Bacillati; Bacillota; Tissierellia; Tissierellales; Tepidimicrobiaceae
Also listed under: 14 other names
Description: tRNA-Ile
Rfam family: tRNA
About the family: Transfer RNA (tRNA) molecules are approximately 80 nucleotides in length. Their secondary structure includes four short double-helical elements and three loops (D, anti-codon, and T loops). Further hydrogen bonds mediate the characteristic L-shaped molecular structure. tRNAs have two regions of fundamental functional importance: the anti-codon, which is responsible for specific mRNA codon recognition, and the 3' end, to which the tRNAs corresponding amino acid is attached (by aminoacyl-tRNA synthetases). tRNAs cope with the degeneracy of the genetic code in two manners: having more than one tRNA (with a specific anti-codon) for a particular amino acid; and 'wobble' base-pairing, i.e. permitting non-standard base-pairing at the 3rd anti-codon position.
Source: RNAcentral